GGCGAGUGANCGGCAACAGCUCAAAUUUGAAAGCUAGCCUUCGGGUUCGCAUUGUAAUUUGUAGAGGAUGAUUUGGGGAAGCCGCCUGUCUAAGUUCCUUGGAACAGGACGUCAUAGAGGGUGAGAAUCCCGUAUGUGACAGGAAAUGGCACCCUAUGUAAAUCUCCUUCGACGAGUCGAGUUGUUUGGGAAUGCAGCUCUAAAUGGGAGGUAAAUUUCUUCUAAAGCUAAAUAUUGGCGAGAGACCGAUAGCGCACAAGUAGAGUGAUCGAAAGAUGAAAAGCACUUUGGAAAGAGAGUUAAAAAGCACGUGAAAUUGUUGAAAGGGAAGCGCUUGCAAUCAGACUUGUUUAAACUGUUCGGCCGGUCUUCUGACCGGUUUACUCAGUUUGGACAGGCCAGCAUCAGUUUCGGCGGCCGGAUAAAGGCUCUGGGAAUGUGGCCUCCACUUCGGUGGAGGUGUUAUAGCCCAGGGUGUAAUACGGCCAGCCGGGACUGAGGUCCGCGCUUCGGCUAGGAUGCUGGCGUAAUGGUUGUAAGCGACCCGUCUUGAAACCACG
RNAcentral lists this ribosomal RNA (560 nucleotides) under Aureobasidium pullulans. Its description in RNAcentral is "eukaryotic LSU rRNA". It matches the Rfam family "Eukaryotic large subunit ribosomal RNA", at positions 88 to 663 of the family's 3401-position model. Lineage: Eukaryota; Fungi; Ascomycota; Dothideomycetes; Dothideales; Saccotheciaceae. The record is from RNAcentral.